RNAcentral lists this ribosomal RNA (645 nucleotides) under uncultured Gammaproteobacteria bacterium. RNAcentral describes it as "bacterial SSU rRNA". It matches the Rfam family "Bacterial small subunit ribosomal RNA", at positions 804 to 1450 of the family's 1533-position model. Lineage: Bacteria; Pseudomonadati; Pseudomonadota; Gammaproteobacteria. The record is from RNAcentral.
AAACGAUGUCUACUAGCUGUCUGUGGUUUUAAAUCGUGGGUAGCGCAGCUAACGCACUAAGUAGACCGCCAGGGGAGUACGGCCGCAAGGUUAAAACUCAAAUGAAUUGACGGGGGCCCGCACAAGCGGUGGAGCAUGUGGUUUAAUUCGAUGCAACGCGAAGAACCUUACCUGCCCUUGACAUACAGCGAACUUACCAGAGAUGGUUUGGUGCCUUCGGGAACGCUGAUACAGGUGCUGCAUGGCUGUCGUCAGCUCGUGUCGUGAGAUGUUGGGUUAAGUCCCGCAACGAGCGCAACCCUUAUCCUUAGUUGCCAGCGAGUAAUGUCGGGAACUCUAGGGAGACUGCCGGUGAUAAACCGGAGGAAAGUGGGGACGACGUCAAGUCAUCAUGGCCCUUACGGGCAGGGCUACACACGUGCUACAAUGGCGGAUACAAAGGGAUGCGAACCUGCGAGGGUAAGCGGAACCCAUAAAGUCCGUCGUAGUCCGGAUUGGAGUCUGCAACUCGACUCCAUGAAGUCGGAAUCGCUAGUAAUCGUAGAUCAGAAUGCUACGGUGAAUACGUUCCCGGGCCUUGUACACACCGCCCGUCACACCAUGGGAGUGGGUUGCUCCAGAAGUAGAUAGCUUAACCUCGGGAGG